AGGAUUAUAGUUAAUAAUAACAUUUGAUUUGCAUUCAAAAAGUAUCUAAGGAUUAAUCUUA
Molecule: transfer RNA, 61 nt
Filed under: Roxasellana stellata
Lineage: Eukaryota; Metazoa; Arthropoda; Insecta; Hemiptera; Cicadellidae
Description: tRNA-Ala
Source: RNAcentral